GUGCUUGCUUCGGCAGCACAUAUACUAAAAUUGGAACAAUACAAGGAAGAUUAGCAUGGCCCCUGCACGUGGAUGACAUGCAAAAAAAAAAAAGAAAGAAAAUAGUU
Molecule: small nuclear RNA, 107 nt
Organism: Diceros bicornis minor
Lineage: Eukaryota; Metazoa; Chordata; Mammalia; Perissodactyla; Rhinocerotidae
Source: RefSeq, a predicted model, not a curated record